This 229-nucleotide ribosomal RNA is filed under the name uncultured bacterium. RNAcentral describes it as "partial 16S ribosomal RNA". It matches the Rfam family "Bacterial small subunit ribosomal RNA", at positions 568 to 796 of the family's 1533-position model. The record is from RNAcentral.
UGCGCAGGCGGUUCGUUAAGUCUGAUGUGAAAGCCCCGGGCUCAACCUGGGAAUGGCAUUGGAAACUGGCGGGCUUGAGUGUGGCAGAGGGGGGUGGAAUUCCGCGUGUAGCAGUGAAAUGCGUAGAGAUGCGGAGGAACACCGAUGGCGAAGGCAGCCCCCUGGGCUAACACUGACGCUCAGGCACGAAAGCGUGGGGAGCAAACAGGAUUAGAUACCCUGGUAGUCC